RNAcentral lists this ribosomal RNA (440 nucleotides) under uncultured bacterium. RNAcentral's name for it is "partial 16S ribosomal RNA". It matches the Rfam family "Bacterial small subunit ribosomal RNA", at positions 338 to 795 of the family's 1533-position model. The record is from RNAcentral.
CCUACGGGGGGCAGCAGUGGGGAAUAUUGUACAAUGGGAGAAACCCUGAUGCAGCGACGCCGCGUGAGCGAUGAAGUAUUUCGGUAUGUAAAGCUCUAUCAGCAGGGAAGAAAAUGCCGGUACCUGACUAAGAAGCCCCGGCUAACUACGUGCCAGCAGCCGCGGUAAGCCGUAGGGGGCAAGCGUUAUCCGGAUUUACUGGGUGUAAAGGGAGCGUAGACGGCUUGGCAAGCCAGAUGUGAAAGGCUGCGGCUCAACCCCAGGACGGCAGUUGGAACUGUGAAGCUAGAGUGUCGGAGAGGCAUGCGGAAUUCGUAGUGUAGCGGUGAAAUGCGUAGAUAUUAGGAGGAACACCAGUGGCGAAGGCGGCCUGCUGGACGAUGACUGACGCUGAGGCUCGAAAGCGUGGGGAGCAAACAGGAUUAGAUACCCUAGUAGUC